CUAGCGGCAGACGGGUGAGUAACAUGUGGGAAUCUGCCUUUUGGUUCGGAACAACACGGGGAAACCUGUGCUAAUACCGGAUAAGUCCUUACGGAGAAAGUUUUAAUGCCAAAAGAUGAGCCCGCAUUUGAUUAGCUAGUUGGUGAGGUAAAAGCUUACCAAGGCGACAAUCAAUAGCUGAUUUGAGAGGACGAUCAGCCACACUGGAACUGAGACACGGUCCAGACUCC
This 230-nucleotide ribosomal RNA is filed under the name uncultured bacterium. Its description in RNAcentral is "partial 16S ribosomal RNA". It matches the Rfam family "Bacterial small subunit ribosomal RNA", at positions 92 to 339 of the family's 1533-position model. The record is from RNAcentral.